UAUCGGUCGCUUCGCGGCGAUAGGUUGUGAACCCCGUCAGGUCCGGAAGGAAGCAGCGGUAACAACUGAUUCGGGCGCCGAAGUUAGGCUGAUACUG
Molecule: signal recognition particle RNA, 97 nt
Filed under: Gammaproteobacteria bacterium
Lineage: Bacteria; Pseudomonadati; Pseudomonadota; Gammaproteobacteria
Description: signal recognition particle sRNA small type
Rfam family: Bacterial small signal recognition particle RNA
About the family: The signal recognition particle (SRP) is a universally conserved ribonucleoprotein involved in the co-translational targeting of proteins to membranes. Archaeal SRP consists of a 7S RNA and homologues of the eukaryotic SRP19 and SRP54 proteins.
Source: RNAcentral